This 254-nucleotide ribosomal RNA is filed under the name uncultured bacterium. RNAcentral describes it as "partial 16S ribosomal RNA". It matches the Rfam family "Bacterial small subunit ribosomal RNA", at positions 57 to 305 of the family's 1533-position model. The record is from RNAcentral.
GCAAGUCGAGCGAGAAAGUUUCCUUCGGGAGACGAGUAGAGCGGCGAACGGGUGAGUAACGCGUAGAUAAUCUACCUUUGAGAUUGAGAUAACCUCGGGAAACUGGGGCUAAUACCAAAUGAUGCCUUUUGAAUGGAAACUAAAGGUUAAAGGGGCUUUUGUCCCGCUUGAGGAUGAGUCUGCGUUCUAUCAGCUAGUUGGUGAGGUAAUGGCUUACCAAGGCAAAGACGGAUAGCUGGUCUGAGAGGAUGAUC